Molecule: long non-coding RNA, 1973 nt
Filed under: Trifolium pratense (red clover)
Lineage: Eukaryota; Viridiplantae; Streptophyta; Magnoliopsida; Fabales; Fabaceae
Description: long non-coding RNA (TPRA_LNC012609)
Source: RNAcentral
GCACCGCCAAAAAAGAUACGGAUCAAAAUUUAAAGAUACGGAUCAAAUUUAAGGUUUGAUUUAUUUAGUCUCUAGCGAUGUGAAAAUGCCAAAUGCAUCAUCCAAAGACACCAAUGCGACCACAAUUUCACAAAAUGCAAACCUAAUUACACCCUUCUCUCUUUCUCUCAUCAUUAUAUUGCAUCUGUUUUCUUCUGCAAAUUUGGGGAACUCAACUUUCAUGGAGUUUAUGUACAAGAUUACGACACUUUUCUGAAGUGGAUUCUGCAUAAGCAACAUUAAAGGUAGUUCGUGAUUUUUGUUCCUUUGCAUAUGGUUUUCUUUUUUAUUUGGAAUGGACGGUUUAAUUUGAUUUGGAGGUCAGUUCUGACAUCAAGUGCUUCCAGCUCUCUGAUUACAGUUGCGGGGAUCGAAUUGUGGUACUCACUAGCAAAUAGACCAACUAAUGAUUGAUUUCCUUGCAUAUGUUUUGCUUCAACAAAAUCUACAUUUAUUAGAUACUAAUCAUUCAAUUGCUUUAACUUUAUCUAACUAAAAACGUAAUUUAUGAAUGAUGCCAUGAUAAUAGUAACAAUUACGGGUUAUAGUGUUUAUCCGAUGUGAAUUUGUUCCAAGUAGCUAGAAAGGUGAAGCAUGGUCAUGCAUCUAGAUGCUGAGUCGUGCCGCGGUGGGAUGUCAUCCGCCAUCCCUAAAAACGUAAUUUAUGUGUGUGAGUUUCACCUGUAGGCUCUUAACAACAACAAAAAAAAAACCUAAUUUUAAGCAGAGCAAUGAGAGAGUGACAAAAUCUACGUUUUGUUAUCUAUAGAUAUAUGCAAAGAAAAUGCCUUUCUUUUAUUAGAUUGAGCUCCCUGGCUAGAUCAACAACAAUGAAGUCCACUCAUUAAAAGUGAAACUAAGCAUUUUUUAGCAUUAGGAUUAAGAUUUUCAGCAAAGAUAUGAAGAUUUUGACCAUCUUCAAAUAUAGUAUCAUAUGUUGGUCUUCUUCAUGUAGACACCUCAGAACCUGUUCCAUUCUCUAUAUAUGUUGAGUAUGAACUGUAUGACUCAUGGUAUUGAUAAAUGGACAACCGCUCUGUAGUCAGAGACAUAGGCACAAUUGACUGCGCUACAUUAUCUUACAUAGUGCAUGUGUUUCUCUAUUUACUUUUCCGUAUCCCUUUUUCUUUUGAACCGGGAUUGUUGUUUCUAACAAUAUAUAGCUGCAACUGUCAAUACUGAGUAAUUAGUAAAACUAGUUAAUGCUAACAGGUAUGACAAUUCAAAGAAACGCUAAAUGUAUCAUGACUGGGCUACAUUAUCUUACAUCGUGUUUCUCUAUUUGCUUUUCCAUAUCCCUUUUUUUCUUUUGAACCGGGAUUGUUGUUCUAACAAUAUAUAGCAGAAACUGUCAGUGGCGAGUAAUUAGUAAAACUAGUUAAUGCUAACAGGUUUGUUAUGUACCUUGAGGAGCAUAGCCAAGUAAACUUUUCUGUCAGAUUUCCAAUAUCAUAUUUGCAAAACAUAUCGUUUUCUGAAAGAUCCUUGUUUGCGAGUUAUCUAUUUAGAAUAUGAAGUCCAUUAUGUGCUUUUUUGUUGGUUAAAGAGAACUUGUAUUUCCUUAUGCUGCUUUUCACAUUAAGUUUUUGUGCAUGAAUUAAUUUCGUAUGUGUUAAGGAACUUUGUUGAUGUUUGCUACGACAUUUUGUCCCACAAAUUUGCAGCUCUCUUCAUUUGUUUUGUGUUAAGGAACUUUGUUGUCCAGUUUUCUGACAUUUUCAUUAAAAAACUACUACUAUUGUAUUCAAUUAUUAGUGGAAAACUUAAAGUUGAUUCUCUUUGCUUAGGUGCAUCAAGGUGUGUGCUUUGACAAUAUAAUCUGCAGCUAAAUAUACUUUCUACCCCCACAGAUAGAAAAGGUGAAUGGAAGAGACACCGGACGGGCACAUUUCGUAAGGUAUGUUGAUGUAAAGACUAUACAUGAUUUGGUUUGG